This 1165-nucleotide long non-coding RNA is filed under the name Capra hircus (goat). RNAcentral's name for it is "lncRNA (ENSCHIG00010015201.1)". The record is from RNAcentral. Lineage: Eukaryota; Metazoa; Chordata; Mammalia; Artiodactyla; Bovidae.
AUAAUAUAUACUAUAUUACAUAUAAUGUAUAUAAUAUAUACUAAUAUAAUGAUAAUAAACAUAUUUUAUUUAAAUCACCAAAAGAACUUUUAAAAAUUGUGGGAGGGUUAAAAGAUGUUGCCUCUGGGAAGCAAGUCUAAGGGAGGAGCGGUGCAGUGCGGCCGUUCUUUUGUAUUAAAUGCCUUCUUUGCUCUGACUUCUUAGCCACACGCGAGGGUUACUCCGACCUAUGAAAAGCAUGAAUGAAACGGCCCUGAGGGCAUCACCAGGAACCUGGUCAGCCCCUGGACACUGCCCUCUCUGUCCUCAGGGACACACGGCGGCUGAGUGUGCAAGUGCGUGCUCACACGCCUGCUGGCCCCGUCUCAAGUAUUUUUGAACUUUCUGUGGGUUUGUCUCAUCAAUGACAGUAAUUUUCCCUAUUGACUUGGAUGAUUAAGAAUCGACUCCAAUGAAAACAGAGGGCUUCAGAGAGCCUGUCACCGGCUUCCUUCCCGAACAACGCCUGACCAAGAUUUCCGUGACUCCGCUACACAGCAUCAGAAAACCUCACAAUAGGGCUUACUCACAAUCAUUCGCUCAUCGACUUUUAUUUAACCCACACAAAGAAAUGCCGAGUGCUCUCUGGUGGCCUGGAUCAAGUCCCUUGGAUCCGUGAUGCGAGCGGUGACUUUCUCGGAUGGACAGAUGGACAGAAGAGGUCCCAUGCGCUCCACUCGCUCUAAGAAGAAUGGUCACAUUGAGCCCAGCAGCCAGUGGUGCUGUGGCAAAGCGUGUGGUCACCUCCCACAUGAAGAGGCCUAUUGAUGACCGUGGGACCCGGUGCAAGGGCCCUGGCAGCCGGCCGGAGGCGCGGGACAGUGGGCAGCGUUCCCAGCGCGCCCGGCCGGGAGCCGCAGAGGACACACACGGCGCGUGCACACACUCCGCUCACGUCCAAGGACACACACGGCGCCUGUGCACACUCCGCUCACGCCCAAGGACACACACGGCGCAUACGCACACUCCGCUCACGCCCAAGGACACACACGGCACAUACGCACACUCCGCUCACGCCCACGUGCGAGCGCUUCCCAAGGCAGGGGGCGUACCUUGCCAGGCGCUGGCGCUGAAGCAAGUGGCCUCUCAGGGACCUCCCCCUGCAGCCCCCCAGAGACAGAAGUGA